GAGCCAACCCAGCGAACUGAAACAUCUUAGUAGCUGGAGGAAAGGAAAGUAAAAACGACUCCCUAAGUAGCGGCGAGCGAACGGGGAAGAGCCUAAACCGAUGGCUUAGGCCAUCGGGGUUGUGGGACAGCAAUGUGGAUCUUGGAGGUUAGUGGAAGCGUUUGAAAGGCGCGCCAUAGAGGGUGAAAGCCCCGUACGCGAAAACCAAACGGACCUAGCUGUAUCCCGAGUAGCACGGAGCACGUGAAAUUCCGUGUGAAUCCGCGAGGACCACCUCGUAAGGCUAAGUACUCCUGUGUGACCGAUAGCGAAACAGUACCGCGAGGGAAAGGUGAAAAGAACCCCGGGAGGGGAGUGAAACAGAACAUGAAACCGUGAGCUUACAAGCAAUGGGAGCCCUACUCAUAGGGUGACCGUGUGCCUGUUGAAGAAUGAGCCGGCGACUUAUAGGCACUGGCAGGUUAAGGGGGAAAUCCUGGAGCCAUAGCGAAAGCGAGUCUGAAUAGGGCGCAAGUCAGUGUUUAUAGACCCGAACCCGGGUGAUCUAACCAUGGCCAGGAUGAAGCUUGGGUGAUACCAAGUGGAGGUCCGAACCGACUGAUGUUGAAAAAUCAGCGGAUGAGCUGUGGUUAGGGGUGAAAUGCCAAUCGAACCCGGAGCUAGCUGGUUCUCCCCGAAAUACGUUGAGGCGUAGCGUCUGGUGCUCCAAUUGGGGGGUAAAGCCACCGUUUCGGUGCGGGCUGCGAGAGCGGUACCAAAUCGAGACGAACUCUGAAUACCCAAUGUGUAGCCAGGCAGUCAGACUGUGGGGGAUAAGCUCCAUGGUCGAAAGGGAAACAGCCCAGACCGCCAGCUAAGGUCCCCAAAUCAACGCUCAGUGAUAAAGGAGGUGGGAUUGCCCAGACAACCAGGAGGUUUGCCUAGAAGCAGCCAUCCUCAAAGGAGUGCGUAAUAGCUCACUGGUCGAGCGAUCCUGCGCCGAAAAUGAACGGGGCUAAGCGUUGUACCGAAGCUGCGGAUUUAACUUGUUAAAUGGUAGGGGAGCGUUCCAUGUGGGGUGAAGCGUUAGCGUAAGCGGGCGUGGACUGCAUGGAAGUGAGAAUGUCGGCUUGAGUAGCGAAAACAUGGGUGAGAAUCCCAUGCCCCGAAACCCUAAGGGUUCCUCCGGCAGGCUCGUCCGCGGAGGGUUAGUCAGGACCUAAGGCGAGGCCGAAAGGCGUAGUCGAUGGACAACAGGUCAACAUUCCUGUACCUGUCAUGUUUUGGGAAGGGGGACGGAGAAGGCUAGCCCAGCCAGAUGUUGGUUACUGGUUCAAGCGUUCGAGGUGUUGAGGGGUGGUGAAAACACCCUGAGCUGAGGCGUGAGUACGAGCUGCUACGGCAGCGAAGUGGGUGAUGUCAAGCUUCCAAGAAAAGCCCUAUACCCGUUAAGGCAUGACGGCCUGUACCCGAAACCGACACAGGUGGGGUGGUAGAGAAUACCGAGGGGCGCGAGAUAACUCUCUCUAAGGAACUCGGCAAAAUGGCCCCGUAACUUCGGGAUAAGGGGUGCCACCGCAAGGUGGUCGCAGUGAAGAGGCCCAGGCGACUGUUUACCAAAAACACAGGUCUCCGCUAAGUCGCAAGACGAUGUAUGGGGGCUGACGCCUGCCCAGUGCCGGAAGGUUAAGGAAGCUGGUCAGCGCAAGCGAAGCUAGCUUUGAACUGAAGCCCCGGUGAACGGCGGCCGUAACUAUAACGGUCCUAAGGUAGCGAAAUUCCUUGUCGGGUAAGUUCCGACCCGCACGAANNGCGUAACNAUCUGGGCGCUGUCUCGGAGAGAGGCUCGGCGAAAUAGAAUUGUCUGUGAAGAUGCGGACUACGUGCACCCGGACAGAAAGACCCUAUGAAGCUUUACUGUAGCUUGGUAUUGUGCCCGGGCUCUGAAUGCGCAGGAUAGGUGGGAGGCUUUGAUCCAUUGCUUGCGGGUAAUGGUGAGCCAACGGUGAGAUACCACUCUUUCAGAGCUAGGGUUCUAACAGUCACCCGUUAUCCGGGGACUGGACAGUAUCAGGUGGGCAGUUUGACUGGGGCGGUCGCCUCCUAAAAGGUAACGGAGGCGCGCAAAGGUUCCCUCAGGCUGGUUGGAAAUCAGCCGACGAGUGUAACGGAUAAAAGUUACUCUAGGGAUAACAGGCUGAUCUCCCCCAAGAGUUCACAUCGACGGGGAGGUUUGGCACCUCGAUGUCGGCUCAUCGCAACCUGGGGCUGAAGUCGGUCCCAAGGGUUGGGCUGUUCGCCCAUUAAAGCGGUACGCGAGCUGGGUUCAGAACGUCGUGAGACAGUUCGGUCCAUAUCCGGUGCAUGCGCAGGAACAUUGAGAGGAUUUCUCCCUAGUACGAGAGGACCGGGAGGAACGCACCUCUGGUGUACCAGUUAUCGUGCCAACGGUAAACGCUGGGUAGCCAUGUGCGGAGCGGAUAACCGCUGAAAGCAUCUAAGUGGGAAGCCCACCUCAAGAUGAGUGU
RNAcentral lists this ribosomal RNA (2507 nucleotides) under alkali sediment metagenome. Its description in RNAcentral is "bacterial LSU rRNA". It matches the Rfam family "Bacterial large subunit ribosomal RNA". The record is from RNAcentral.